UAAAUUGAAUUUUAUUGCAAAAUCAUUUUUCUUAGCGGAGACACCUUACGAGAAUUUAAAGCGAAAGUGUAUUUCUUUUUGGUCGAUAUGUUCCGUUGGUUACUCACCUGUUACGUAACGUCAAUGAUGUUAUUACUCAAAGAAGUGAAAGUAGUUCCUCAGAUUUAUAGCUGAUUAUUCUCAUAAAUUCAUGAUGUGAAUGAUGUUUAUGUUAAAUUCAUAGUUGUUUUCAUUAUACUUUUCAUUUAUACUGAAUCUAGUGAUAUGUCAUAAAUAUUUGUGAUGUUGUGGAAGGAUAUUUACAUCAGAUAGCGUUCAAGUGUAGUUGGCGCGAAAGAAUAAGCGUUUAUGUUGUUACGACGGUAGGAUAAAUCAGAAAGCGAUUUGUGACGACAGUGUACGUUAGGGGUACUAUGUUCGUUCUUCCAAGUCAAGUUCGACAAGGAGGCAUGUAAUUUCAUUUGACGUACUACCAUGUAUGAGUGAUGCCGAGUGAGGUCUCCAGAGGGUGAUUGGUGGAUGUACCCUUGUUUUCUCUUGGCCUAUAGUAGGGGGUUUGUUUUCCCUGUUUUUGCAUGAUCCACCGGCUGUCAAUAAAUGGCUGACCCACCCCUACUUCUUGUCUAUGGUUCUAUGGUUUUCCUGACUGAGUACCCAACCCCCAACCCAUACUACCACCCAAGCCCAGUUUACUACAAUGGUGUCAGAAGUGGGAUCACCGGUUUGAGAUUGAUGCAACCCCCUACUACGUCAGAGGACGCCAGCAGGUCAAGAGGAUAAGAAGACGCAAUUAGAUAUAAGAUAUAUUAAGGUUGA
Long non-coding RNA from Lytechinus variegatus (green sea urchin), 816 nucleotides. RefSeq lists it as uncharacterized. The transcript is spliced from 3 exons. The record is from RefSeq and is a predicted model, not a curated record. NCBI's taxonomy places the organism in Eukaryota, Metazoa, Echinodermata, Echinoidea, Temnopleuroida, Toxopneustidae.